RNAcentral lists this transfer RNA (73 nucleotides) under Candidatus Nanobsidianus stetteri. Its description in RNAcentral is "tRNA-Met". It matches the Rfam family "tRNA". From Rfam's summary of the family: Transfer RNA (tRNA) molecules are approximately 80 nucleotides in length. Their secondary structure includes four short double-helical elements and three loops (D, anti-codon, and T loops). Further hydrogen bonds mediate the characteristic L-shaped molecular structure. tRNAs have two regions of fundamental functional importance: the anti-codon, which is responsible for specific mRNA codon recognition, and the 3' end, to which the tRNAs corresponding amino acid is attached (by aminoacyl-tRNA synthetases). tRNAs cope with the degeneracy of the genetic code in two manners: having more than one tRNA (with a specific anti-codon) for a particular amino acid; and 'wobble' base-pairing, i.e. permitting non-standard base-pairing at the 3rd anti-codon position. RNAcentral also lists the same sequence under 2 other names. The record is from RNAcentral. Lineage: Archaea; Nanobdellati; Nanobdellota; Candidatus Nanoarchaeia; Nanoarchaeales; Nanopusillaceae.
GCCGCCGUAGCUCAGGGGUUGGAGCGCCUGGCUCAUAACCAGGAGGUCCGGGGUUCAAAUCCCCGCGGCGGCA